This 253-nucleotide ribosomal RNA is filed under the name uncultured bacterium. RNAcentral's name for it is "partial 16S ribosomal RNA". It matches the Rfam family "Bacterial small subunit ribosomal RNA", at positions 524 to 776 of the family's 1533-position model. The record is from RNAcentral.
UACAGAGGGUGCAAGCGUUAAUCGGAUUUACUGGGCGUAAAGCGUGUGUAGGUGGCUUCCUAAGUCGGUUGUGAAAUCCCUGGGCUCAACCUGGGAAUUGCAGUCGAUACUGGGAAGCUCGAGUUCGGUAGAGGGUGACGGAAUUCCCGGUGUAGCGGUGAAAUGCGCAGAUAUCAGGAGGAACACCGGUGGCGAAGGCGGGUCUCUGGGCCGAAACUGACGCUGAGGAGCGAAAGCGUGGGGAGCGAACAGG